GAUGAACGCUGGCGGCGUGCCUAAUACAUGCAAGUCGAGCGAACAGAUGAGGAACUUGCUCCUCUGACGUUAGCGGCGGACGGGUGAGUAACACGUGGAUAACCUACCUAUAAGACUGGGAUAACUUCGGGAAACCGGAGCUAAUACCGGAUAAUAUAUUGAACCGCAUGGUUCAAUAGUGAAAGACGGUUUUGCUGUCACUUAUCGAUGGAUCCGCGCCGCAUUAGCUAGUUGGUAAGGUAACGGCUUACCAAGGCAACGAUGCGUAGCCGACCUGAGAGGGUGAUCGGCCACACUGGAACUGAGACACGGUCCAGACUCCUACGGGAGGCAGCAGUAGGGAAUCUUCCGCAAUGGGCGAAAGCCUGACGGAGCAACGCCGCGUGAGUGAUGAAGGUCUUCGGAUCGUAAAACUCUGUUAUUAGGGAAGAACAAAUGUGUAAGUAACUAUGCACGUCUUGACGGUACCUAAUCAGAAAGCCACGGCUAACUACGUG
RNAcentral lists this ribosomal RNA (497 nucleotides) under uncultured bacterium. RNAcentral describes it as "partial 16S ribosomal RNA". It matches the Rfam family "Bacterial small subunit ribosomal RNA", at positions 28 to 507 of the family's 1533-position model. The record is from RNAcentral.